Dipodomys ordii (Ord's kangaroo rat) is the source of this 65-nucleotide non-coding RNA. Lineage: Eukaryota; Metazoa; Chordata; Mammalia; Rodentia; Heteromyidae. The record is from Rfam.
GGUGGUUCAGUGGUAGAAUGCUUGUCUUGGAUGCAUGAGGCCUUGGGUUCGAUUCCUCAGCACCA